UCCAUAGAGUUGAGAUUUGUUUUGUUCUCUGCCCAGGGAUGGAGUGACAGCAGUGUUCAAUGAAUUCAAGGAGAUGCUAGGUGUUUCUCCAUCUACCAUCUCAUGUGCAUUUUCUGACAAAGGUUUGAUUUUCAUUACUGUAUUUUACCAAUGAUGGACAUUAUUACAGAUGAUGUUUUUAUAUUGGGCAUUGAUUUUCCCUGAAAUUAAAACUAAACUAAAGCACCUUUCAUUUCUUCCAGCUGGAAUUUGGACAACACAUUUCACAUGUGGCUAUCCUUUACAGGCACCUGAGAGAGGCUAAGAUUUAAAGAAGUUGUUUGGAGUCUUUUUCUCAGCACAGGCAACAUUUACCACUUCUGAAUUAAAACAAAUGAUGGAUUUCCACCUAAGUUCAAAUUGACCUUUGCUAUUUUCGCCUGACUUCUUCAGCCCUCAUAACUCAUUUUAAACUUUGUUUCAAUGAUGUGGCGCUGCUCUCUGCCUUUGCCUUUGCUGCAAAUAAGGCCCGCCCACUGAGUCUCUGCUUCCCACAGCAGUAGACUUGCAGACUGCAGAGUCAUUUAAUAGUGUUCGUGAAGAAAAGUUGAUGACUCACUGCACAGCCCCUGGGGAGGGAGGAGGUGAUUGCAAACAAUUUAGAACACGGCAAGAAAGCCUAGCAUGACUGCCUUGCAGCAAUCAAACACCUACCACAAAAAAAAAAAAAAAGUCUUGUCUGAACUUGAUUGAAUGCUGAUUUAAUUUUUCCAGAAAUAUGUUAGCUGAGCAGUCUGCUGGGCUCAACACUAUUUCCCUUACUCUGGCAGAGUGGAAGUUGUAACCACACUAAGUUUUAUAGCUUCAGAUAAUAUGUAUUCGGAAAAAAAGAUCUCCCUAAAGAUUUUUUUUUAUCUCAAAACAUGUGAUUCUAAUUUUAUAGGAGGGGAUGUCACUGUUUUAUUUGAAUUCUUAUGAAAAAAAAAGCAUUUUUGGUUUGCUUUUGCUUUUGCUUUCUAAAAUAGAAACCAAGAUCUAAUACACAUCAGCCAUCUAAAGUGGAUGCAGGGAACAGUUGCCAUGGGUUGGAGAGGCGGCUCAGCUGUUAAAAGCAUACUGCUAGUCUUUGUUUGUUUUCUGUUGCUGCGAUAUACACAUUAACCAAAAGCAAAGCUGGGGAGAAAAGGCUUUAUUUCAGCUUACAACUUCUGGGCCAUACUCUAUCACUGUGAGAAGCCAGGGCAAGAGCUCAGGCCGGAGCAGAUGCAGAGGCGGUAUAGAGGGGUGCACCUUACUGACUUGCUCCUCAUGGAUUGCUCAGCUUGCUGAGGACCUCCUGCGUGGGAUGGCACCAUGUAUAGGGAGCUAAGCACUCCCACAUCAACCAUAAAUCAAGAAAUUGCCAGACAUGCUUGGUGCUUUCGGCCUGGAGCCAUGUUGAUGUCCAUGACCACAGCUACAUCUCAGGCCUUUGUCUGGGUCCUUGGCCAUACUGCAACUGGGAGCCCUGUUAAUGGUCUUUGCUGAAACCAGAAGCCAAGUGGAAGCCCAUGAUCCAUGCUCCCUUGGUUCCUAAACAGCAAAUAAGCUACUUUGGCAGUGAUAUCGAUGACUGGAGAUGCACAGUUGAGAAAGAGGGACAUGGAAGACUUCUGUGACAACCCCUACCUCCACCUUCAUCCACCUCUCCCAAAAUAGUAACAGCCUAAACAGGAAACCAUCAAAAAGAACACUUAAACUGUGAUAGGAUGCUCUCCACACCAGAUAGCUUCCAGAAGGGUUGCGGGAGGGGAAGGACUCAGUCCUAUUUAAGUGACAGGCCACUGAGAGUUUGCACAUGUUCUGGUGAGUAUAUAAACAACACAAAUUGGACUUUUUUUUUUU
Molecule: non-coding RNA, 1863 nt
Organism: Cricetulus griseus (Chinese hamster)
Lineage: Eukaryota; Metazoa; Chordata; Mammalia; Rodentia; Cricetidae
Source: RefSeq, a predicted model, not a curated record